Molecule: transfer RNA, 67 nt
Filed under: Proechimys poliopus
Lineage: Eukaryota; Metazoa; Chordata; Mammalia; Rodentia; Echimyidae
Description: tRNA-Cys
Source: RNAcentral
AGCUUUGAGGUGAUUAUUCAUAUUGAAUUGCAAAUUCAAAGGAGCAGCUUCAAACCUGUUGGGGCUU